Molecule: long non-coding RNA, 375 nt
Filed under: Triticum aestivum (bread wheat)
Lineage: Eukaryota; Viridiplantae; Streptophyta; Magnoliopsida; Poales; Poaceae
Description: long non-coding RNA (TAES_LNC011388)
Source: RNAcentral
GUAGAGUUUCCAAAAUGCGGGCAUUCUCUAUACAAUUUUGCUACGUUGGCUAUAACUUAGGAAUCCAGGUCACAUUUUGUUUCUGGAAUCCAGGUCACACUUUGUCCCUUCAAAAGUUGUUGGUAAACUCUUCCCUCCCACUCCUCUGAUUCAUAGCAUUUUGUCCGUCACACUGCUUUACAGGUCAGAUGCACGUAAUUCCUUCAUUUUUGAAAGGAACUGAACAAAAAUGCCUUGCACAACGUUUGUCUACUCUUCAGUUAUGGAGUGACUCUGUACAACAUCUCUUCUGUUUGCCCAGCACCACGUUUAUGACAUGUUGUUCUGUUAAUAGAAGUGCAAACAUGAAAUGAGAAAUCAAUUAAAGAAACAAGG